RNAcentral lists this unclassified non-coding RNA (211 nucleotides) under Hevea brasiliensis (rubber tree). Lineage: Eukaryota; Viridiplantae; Streptophyta; Magnoliopsida; Malpighiales; Euphorbiaceae. The record is from RNAcentral.
CCAAUCUCACUGAGAUGCUUGGCAGGGCUCUCACUGUAGAACUAAGAGCAUGCAUGUGUUACUUCACUAAGGCAUUCAUAACAAUAGGGCAACACUAUUCACAAACAAUACACCGACUUUUCUGAGGAAUGAAUUAGCUACUUAUCCUCAAAGAACUUGAGCUAGCUUAAGGAAGAAAUAAGUUUUAUUACCAUUUCCACUCAUUGAAUGG